RNAcentral lists this ribosomal RNA (427 nucleotides) under uncultured diatom. RNAcentral describes it as "bacterial SSU rRNA". It matches the Rfam family "Eukaryotic small subunit ribosomal RNA", at positions 451 to 880 of the family's 1831-position model. The record is from RNAcentral. Lineage: Eukaryota; Bacillariophyta.
CUGACACAGGGAGGUAGUGACAAUACAUAACAAUGUUGGGCCUAUCUAGGUCUGACAAUUGGAAUGAGAACAAUUUAAAAAUAUUAUCAAGGACCAAUUGGAGGGCAAGUCUGGUGCCAGCAGCCGCGGUAAUUCCAGCUCCAAUAGUGUAUAUUAAAGUUGCUGUAGUUAAAAAGCUCGUAGUUGAAUUUCUGAUGAGAGUAGUCUGAUUGAUACAUUGUAUCGAUACUUGUACCAUCUCUGAUCAUCGUUGAAGGGAAUAUAUUUGAUAUUAAGUUAUCAGAAAUGAGGUCUUCAUACUUUACUGUGAAAAAUUAGAGUGUUCAAAGCAGGCUUUUGUUGUUGAAUAUAUUAGCAUGGAAUAAUUAUAUAUGACCAUGGCACUAUUUUGUUGGUUUGUUUGCCAUUGUAAUGAUUGAUAGGGACA